UUGAACGCUGGCGGAAUGCUUUACACAUGCAAGUCGAGCGGCAGCGCGGGGGCAACCCUGGCGGCGAGCGGCGAACGGGUGAGUAAUGCAUCGGAACGUACCCAGUCGUGGGGGAUAACUACGCGAAAGCGUAGCUAAUACCGCAUACGCCCUGAGGGGGAAAGCGGGGGACCUUCGGGCCUCGCGCGAUUGGAGCGGCUGAUGUCGGAUUAGCUAGUUGGUGGGGUAAAGGCCUACCAAGGCGACGAUCCGUAGCUGGUCUGAGAGGAUGAUCAGCCACACUGGGACUGAGACACGGCCCAGACUCCUACGGGAGGCAGCAGUGGGGAAUUUUGGACAAUGGGCGCAAGCCUGAUCCAGCCAUGCCGCGUGAGUGAAGAAGGCCUUCGGGUUGUAAAGCUCUUUCAGACGGAAAGAAAUCGGGCGCGUGAAUAGCGUGCCUGGAUGACGGUACUGUCAGAAGAAGCACCGGCUAACUACGU
This 482-nucleotide ribosomal RNA is filed under the name uncultured bacterium. RNAcentral's name for it is "bacterial SSU rRNA". It matches the Rfam family "Bacterial small subunit ribosomal RNA", at positions 29 to 506 of the family's 1533-position model. The record is from RNAcentral.